CCAAAGCACCUGAUCGCGAUUCACGCCCACUUUUACACGACUGACUGACGUCCCAGUGUGUUUACAAUUAUCUCAAUGUUCGGGGACUUGUAGGACAAUAUAGGUAACAUUUAUUCAUCGCUUAAAGCACAUUUAGAAUGUCGAAAAAUUACAACUUUAUACAAGAAGCCUGUUUGGUAUAAUAUGAUAUGCAUAUAGCCACAAUCUGUGAUUAAAAUGAAAGCGAAAGUGUUUUGUGUUACGUCAUCAAGGAAGUAAAAGUGGCGUUCUCUGUUUAAGUUUAGGCACAGUGACAACACAAAGGAACCGCAGUCUCUGAACGGAGCAUCCAAAGGUUACUGGCUUCUUAAAUCGUCGGACAAUUGCAAAAAUGCCGGUGGAAUUCAGUGGAUGGGAGGCAUAUUGUGAUAAAUCAAAGCACCUUAAGCCAGGUCAAGAACCCAAAAAGAAUCAUGGCUACAUUAUGUACCACGGGACUCUCAAAAGCAAUGCCCCAGCCAUCAUAUCAACAGGAUUUCGUCCCUCUUCUGGGGGAACUCUGGGCCCCGGAGUCUACUGUAGUAGAGACAUUAACAAAGCAAUGGGUUACCCAGCAUGUGCUCCCAAUGACCGAGUCGUGUUAAAGCUGCGAGUGAGAGUUGGUAAAGUGAAGAGGAUUGACAGCCAAAGUCUUAACAUGUGGACAUCAUGGCAUCAGAACGGAUAUGAUACGGCCUGGUUACCUGCCACUGGCUCUUUUGUGGCACUUGAGGAGGAUUGUGUUUGGGACCCAAACAGAAUUACUGUGACUGGAAUAGCCCAUUGCACAGACCCCAGUACUAAGGCUUCCCUGGAGAGUCUCAUAAAGCAGAAAAGCCAAUCCCAAGACCCGAAUGGGAAAGGCAUGAAGCUGUGU
This is a non-coding RNA of Danio rerio (zebrafish), 895 nucleotides long. The record is from Ensembl. NCBI's taxonomy places the organism in Eukaryota, Metazoa, Chordata, Actinopteri, Cypriniformes, Danionidae.